RNAcentral lists this transfer RNA (64 nucleotides) under Dipodomys ordii (Ord's kangaroo rat). It matches the Rfam family "tRNA". Rfam says of the family: Transfer RNA (tRNA) molecules are approximately 80 nucleotides in length. The record is from Rfam by way of RNAcentral. Lineage: Eukaryota; Metazoa; Chordata; Mammalia; Rodentia; Heteromyidae.
GGUGGCUCAGUGAUAGAGCGUUUGUCUCGCAAGCAUGAGGCCCUGGGUUCGAUUCCCAAUACUA